UACGGGGGGAGCAAGCGUUGUUCGGAUUUACUGGGCGUAAAGGGCGCGUAGGCGGCCUCUGCAAGUCGACUGUGAAAUCUCCGGGCUUAACCCGGAAAGGUCAGCCGAUACUGCAGGGCUAGAGUGCAGAAGGGGCAACUGGAAUUCUCGGUGUAGCGGUGAAAUGCGUAGAUAUCGAGAGGAACACCUGCGGCGAAGGCGGGUUGCUGGGCUGACACUGACGCUGAGACGCGAAAGCGUGGGGAGCGAACAGG
RNAcentral lists this ribosomal RNA (254 nucleotides) under uncultured bacterium. RNAcentral describes it as "partial 16S ribosomal RNA". It matches the Rfam family "Bacterial small subunit ribosomal RNA", at positions 524 to 776 of the family's 1533-position model. The record is from RNAcentral.